RNAcentral lists this ribosomal RNA (450 nucleotides) under uncultured bacterium. Its description in RNAcentral is "partial 16S ribosomal RNA". It matches the Rfam family "Bacterial small subunit ribosomal RNA", at positions 354 to 796 of the family's 1533-position model. The record is from RNAcentral.
GUGGGGAAUAUUGGACAAUGGGCGAAAGCCUGAUCCAGCCAUGCCGCGUGUGUGAAGAAGGUCUUCGGAUUGUAAAGCACUUUAAGUUGGGAGGAAGGGCAGUAAGUUAAUACCUUGCUGUUUUGACGUUACCGACAGAAUAAGCACCGGCUAACUUCGUGCCAGCAGCCGCGGUAAUACGAAGGGUGCAAGCGUUAAUCGGAAUUACUGGGCGUAAAGCGCGCGUAGGUGGUUUUGUAAGUUGGAAGUGAAAACCCCGGGCUCAACCUGGGAACUGCCUCCAAAACUGCAUGACUAGAGUACGGUAGAGGGUAGUGGAAUUUCCUGUGUAGCGGUGAAAUGCGUAGAUAUAGGAAGGAACACCAGUGGCGAAGGCGACUACCUGGACUGAUACUGACACUGAGGUGCGAAAGCGUGGGGAGCAAACAGGAUUAGAAACCCGGGUAGUCC